Molecule: ribosomal RNA, 468 nt
Filed under: uncultured bacterium
Lineage: Bacteria
Description: partial 16S ribosomal RNA
Rfam family: Bacterial small subunit ribosomal RNA
Source: RNAcentral
GACGAACGCUGGCGGCGUGCUUAACACAUGCAAGUCGAACGGAAAGGCCCUGCUUUUGUGGGGUGCUCGAGUGGCGAGCGGGUGUGUAACACGUGUGUAACCUGCCCUUGUCUUUGGGAUAACUUCAGGAGACUGGGGAUAAUACCGGAUAGGAGCUCCUGCUGCAUGGUGGGGGUUGGAAAGUUUCGGCGGUUGGGGAUGGACUCGCGGCUUAUGAGCUUGUUGGUGGGGUAGUGGUUUACCAGGGCUUUGACGGGUAGCCGGCCUGAGAGGGUGACCGGCCACAUUGGGACUGAGAGACGGCCCAGACGCCUACGGGAGGCAGCAGUGGGGAAUAUUGCACAAUGGGCGGAAGCCUGAUGCAGCAACGCCGCGUGCGGGAUGACGGCCUUCGGGUUGUAAACCGCUUUCGCCUGUGACGAAGCGUGAGUGACGGUAAUGGGUAAAGAAGCACCGGCUAACUACGUG